RNAcentral lists this ribosomal RNA (227 nucleotides) under uncultured bacterium. Its description in RNAcentral is "partial 16S ribosomal RNA". It matches the Rfam family "Bacterial small subunit ribosomal RNA", at positions 524 to 751 of the family's 1533-position model. The record is from RNAcentral.
UACGUAGGGUGCAAGCGUUAAUCGGAAUUACUGGGCGUAAAGCGUGCGCAGGCGGUUAUGUAAGACAGGUGUGAAAUCCCCGGGCUAACCUGGGAACUGCAUUUGUGACUGCAUAGCUAGGAGUACGGUAGAGGGGAUGGAAUUCCGCGUGUAGCAGUGAAAUGCGUAGAUAUGCGGAGGAACACCGAUGGCGAAGGCAGUCCCCUGGACCUGUACUGACGCUCAUG